AUGUGUUCCGAUUGCCGACCCAUAAAUGCUAUCACCGUUCGCUAUAGGCAUCUCAUUCCACGCCUUGACGAUAUGCUAGAUGAGCUUAGCGGAGCCACAGUUUUCUCUAAAAUUGAUCUUAAAAGUGGCUAUUACCAAAUUCGCAUUCAAGAGGAUGAUGAAUGGAAAACCGCUUUCAAAACCAAAUUUGGCUUGUAUGAGUGGUUAGUUAUGCCUAUGGGCUUAUCCGAAGCACCCGACACUUUCAUGCAUGUGAUGCAUUACAUUCUUCGCGAAUAUAUUGGCAUAUUUGCUGCGGUCUACUUUGAUGAUAUACUUGUGUUUAGCGAAUCUCUAGAAAAUCAUGUCACCCAUCUUAGAGCUGUUUUGCAAACUCUUAGAAACGAGCGCCUUUAUGCUAAUAUGGAGAAAUGCACAUUUGGUGUUGCCAAGCUUGUUUUCUUGGGUUUUGUUCCGUCUUCUAAGGGUGUUCAUGUAGACGAAGCUAAAAUUGAUGCUAUUAAAACUUGGCCACAACCAACCAACUUGCAACAAGUGUGUAGCUUCCUUGGCUUAGCCGGAUUUUAUCGUCACCUUGUGAAGGAUUUUAGCACCAUUGCACCCAUUGAAUAA
RNAcentral lists this ribosomal RNA (612 nucleotides) under Triticum aestivum (bread wheat). RNAcentral describes it as "partial small subunit ribosomal RNA". The record is from RNAcentral. Lineage: Eukaryota; Viridiplantae; Streptophyta; Magnoliopsida; Poales; Poaceae.